UCAAAGAUUAAGCCAUGCAUGUCUAAGUAUAAACAAUUUAUAUGUGUGAAACUGCGAAUGGCUCAUUAAAUCGGUUAUAAAGUAUUUGAUAGUGAAAGACUAUAUGGAUAGCCAUAGUAAUUCUAGAGCUAAUACAUGCGUAAAGGCCCGACUUUAUGGAAGGGCUGUGUUUAUUAGAUUGAAAACCAACGGUAGCUGGGGAAGUUCGCUUUUCUAGUUACAUUUUUUGGUGAGUCAUAAUAAAUGAGCGAAUCUUCGUUCUCGAAGAUGAAACAUUUCUAUUUCCGCUCUAUCAACUUUGGCGUUAAGGUAGUGGCUUAACGGAGUUUUGACGGAUAACGGAGAAUUAGGGUUCGAUUCCGGAGAGGGAGCCUGAGAAACGGCUACCACUUCUAAGGAAGGCAGCAGGCGCGAAAAUUACCCAAUCCCAAUUAUUUUGGGGAGGUAGUGACAAAAAAUAACAAUACAGUGUCCUUCGGGAUGCUGCAAUUGUAAUGGUCUGGAUGUAAAUUAUCCAGAGAGAAGCCAUUAGAGGGCAAGUCUGGUGCCAGCAGCCGCGGUAAUUCCAGCUCUAAUAGUGUAUACUAAAAUUGCUGCAGUUAAAAAGCUCGUAGUUGAAUUUUAGGCGGGACUGGUUGUCAGUUUGAUUGGGGAUAUUUUUUGUCCUGAAGGGGGUUGACCUUGUAUCUAAAGGCAACCUUUUAACCUUUAGGCGAUGUAUCCUUAUUUAUCAAUCAAGUUGAUUGUUUCGCCAAAUUUUUUUCGGGUUGGCUUUGUCCUCUUCAUUGAGUGGCAAAGUUGAUUCGGAGGAUUUACUUUGAAGAAAAUGGAGUGUUCAAAACAGGCGUUUGCAGCUGAACACAUUAGCAUGGAAUAAUAAAAUAAGACAUCGGCGUUCGGCUACCUUCCGAUUAAGGUUCGUUUCAAUUCCUUUUCGUUCUUCUUUUUCUAUCUUUGGAUUGUUUCUAACAUUCAAGGGUGGGAACUGAGUGUAAUUGAAAAGGAGUUAGAAUUUGAAAGGUCGGAGAUUGGGGCUGAUCUACAGUAAUGUAUUCGUUUUGUUGGUUCAUGGAGUUGAUGUAAUGAUUAAUAGGAAUAGUCGGGGAUAUCCGUAUUGCAUUGUCAGAGGUGAAAUUCUUGGAUUUAUGCAAGACGAACUAGUGCGAAAGCAUUUAUCAAGGAUGUUUUCAUUAAUCAAGAACGAAAGUAAGGGGAUCGAAGACGAUCAGAAACCGUUGUAGUCCUUGCCAUAAACUAUACCGUCUAAGGAUCGGUGGCUAUCACUUUUUAGGAUUCCUCCGGCACUUUUAGAGAAAUCACAAGUCUCUGGGUUCUGGGGGGAGUAUGGUCGCAAGGCUGAAACUUAAAGAAAUUGACGGAAGGGCACCACCAGGUGUGGAGCCUGCGGCUUAAUUUGACUCAACACGGGGAAACUUACCAGGUCCGGACGCGGGAAGGAUUGACAGAUUGAUAGCUCUUUCUUGAUUCCGUGGGUGGUGGUGCAUGGUCGUUCUUAGUUGGUGGAGUGAUUUGUCUGGUUAAUUCCGAUAACGAACGAGACCUCAACCUACUAAAUAGCCAGGUUUCAAGUUAAAGAUUGAGGGGUAACUCUCUUUCCGCUUGAGACUCCUUUUUAUGGUUUCUUCUUAGGGGGACUACCGUAAUUAUUUUAAACGGGGGAAGCAUGAGGCAAUAACAGGUCUGUGAUGCCCUUAGAUGUCCUGGACCGCACGCGCGCUACAAUGAUGCAGUCAACGAGCUUGUUCUGUCCCGAAAGGGUUGGGUAAUCUUUUAAAACUGCAUCGUACUGGGGAUUGAUCUUUGUAAUUCUGGAUCAUGAACAAGGAAUACCUAGUAGGUACGAUUCAUCAGAUCGUGCCGAUUACGUCCCUGCCCUUUGUACACACCGCCCGUCGCUCCUACCGAUGAUUGUUCAGAUGAAAUGCUCGGAUUGUGCGGUUGUGACUGCUUCGGUGGUUGCGUACCGUUCUGGAGAAGAGUAGUAAAUCUUAACAGUUAGA
Molecule: ribosomal RNA, 2021 nt
Filed under: Opisthomitus sp. KfOpi
Lineage: Eukaryota; Preaxostyla; Oxymonadida
Description: SSU rRNA
Rfam family: Eukaryotic small subunit ribosomal RNA
Source: RNAcentral